UACGGAGGGUGCAAGCGUUAUCCGGAUUUAUUGGGUUUAAAGGGUCCGUAGGCGGACCCGUAAGUCAGUGGUGAAAUCUCAUAGCUCAACUAUGAAACUGCCAUUGAUACUGCGGGUCUUGAGUAAAUUUGAAGUGGCUGGAAUAAGUAGUGUAGCGGUGAAAUGCAUAGAUAUUACUUAGAACACCAAUUGCGAAGGCA
RNAcentral lists this ribosomal RNA (200 nucleotides) under uncultured bacterium. RNAcentral's name for it is "partial 16S ribosomal RNA". It matches the Rfam family "Bacterial small subunit ribosomal RNA", at positions 524 to 723 of the family's 1533-position model. The record is from RNAcentral.